This 464-nucleotide ribosomal RNA is filed under the name uncultured bacterium. RNAcentral describes it as "bacterial SSU rRNA". It matches the Rfam family "Bacterial small subunit ribosomal RNA", at positions 29 to 490 of the family's 1533-position model. The record is from RNAcentral.
AUUGAACGCUGGCGGAAUGCUUUACACAUGCAAGUCGAACGGCAGCACGGGGCAACCUGGUGGCGAGUGGCGAACGGGUGAGUAAUACAUCGGAACGUGCCCAAUCGUGGGGGAUAACGUAGCGAAAGUUACGCUAAUACCGCAUACGCCCCGAGGGGGAAAGUGGGGGACCGCAAGGCCUCACGCUAUAUGAGCGGCCGAUGUCGGAUUAGCUAGUUGGUAGGGUAAAGGCCUACCAAGGCGACGAUCGGUAGCUGGUCUGAGAGGAUGAUCAGCCACACUGGGACUGAGACACGGCCCAGACUCCUACGGGAGGCAGCAGUGGGGAAUUUUGGACAAUGGGCGAAAGCCUGAUCCAGCCAUGCCGCGUGCGGGAAGAAGGCCUUCGGGUUGUAACCGCUUAGUCCGGGAAAAGGGUAACGGAGGAGUAAUACCCUCGUGCUUUGAUGGUACUGGAGAAUAAG